GAUGAACGCUAGCGGCAGGCCUAACACAUGCAAGUCGAGGGGUAGCAGGAUUAAGCUUGCUUAAUUGCUGACGACCGGCGCACGGGUGCGUAACGCGUAUGCAACCUACCUUAUACUGGGGUAUAGCCCGGAGAAAUUCGGAUUAAUCCCCCAUAGUACUAAUGAAUCGCAUGGUUUAUUAGUUAAAGCAUUGCGGUAUAAGAUGGGCAUGCGUCCUAUUAGCUAGAUGGUGAGGUAACGGCUCACCAUGGCUACGAUAGGUAGGGGGCCUGAGAGGGUGGUCCCCCACACUGGUACUGAGACACGGACCAGACUCCUACGGGAGGCAGCAGUGAGGAAUAUUGGUCAGUGGGCGCGAGCCUGAACCAGCCAUGCCGCGUGCAGGAAGAAUGCCCUAUGGGUUGUAAACUGCUUUUAUUUGGGAAUAAACCUCUUUACGUGUAGAGAGCUGAAGGUACCAAAUGAAUAAGCACCGGCUAACUCCGUGCCAGCAGCCGCGGUAA
Molecule: ribosomal RNA, 503 nt
Filed under: uncultured bacterium
Lineage: Bacteria
Description: partial 16S ribosomal RNA
Rfam family: Bacterial small subunit ribosomal RNA
Source: RNAcentral